UUGAUCCUGGCUCAGAAUGAACGCUGGCGGCGUGCUUAACACAUGCAAGUCGAACGAGAAAUCUUUAGCUCGCUAGAGAAAGUAAAGUGGCGCACGGGUGAGUAACGCGUGGGUAAUCUGCCUCCGAAUCGGGGAUAACAUUGCGAAAGCGAUGCUAAUACCGGAUAAAAUCUGGUUGGCUUCGGUGAACCGGAUCAAAGGUGGUCUCUUUAUAAAAGCUACCGUUUGGAGAUGAGCUCGCGUACCAUUAGCUAGUUGGUGAGGUAAAGGCUCACCAAGGCGACGAUGGUUAGCUGGUCUGAGAGGAUGAUCAGCCACACCGGAACUGGAACACGGUCCGGACUCCUACGGGAGGCAGCAGUGAGGAAUUUUGCGCAAUGGGGGAAACCCUGACGCAACAACGCCGCGUGAGUGAUGAAGGCUUUCGGGUCGUAAAGCUCUGUCAGGUGGGAAGAACCCACCAAGUGUUAAGACCACUUGGUGCUGACGGUACCACCGAAGGAAGCACCGGCUAACUCCGUGCCAGCAGCCGCGGUAAUACGGGGGGUGCGAGCGUUAUUCGGAAUCAUUGGGCGUAAAGGGCGCGCAGGCGGUUUUGUAAGUCAGAUGUGAAAUCCCGGGGCUUAACCCCGGAAGUGCAUAUGAAACUAUGAGACUUGAGUAUGGGAGAGGGAAGCGGAAUUCCUGGUGUA
RNAcentral lists this ribosomal RNA (692 nucleotides) under uncultured organism. Its description in RNAcentral is "bacterial SSU rRNA". It matches the Rfam family "Bacterial small subunit ribosomal RNA", at positions 13 to 677 of the family's 1533-position model. The record is from RNAcentral.